CCCCUAGAUGUUCUGGGCCGCACGCGCGCUACACUGAACAGUUCAACAAGUCUUAACCUUGGCCGAUAGGACUGGGUAAUCUUUGAACGCUGUUCGUGAUUGGGAUAGACCUUUGCAAUUAUGGGUCUUCAACGAGGAAUUCCUAGUAAACGCAAGUCAUCAGCUUGCAUUGAUUACGUCCCUGCCCUUUGUACACACCGCCCGUCGCACCUACCGAUUGAAUGGUCCGGUGAAAUCUCGGGACGGCGGCUUGGUCGCUUGCGUCCGACUGCUGAAACUUGAUUAAACCAUAUCAUUUAGAGGAAGGUGAAGUCGUAACA
Molecule: ribosomal RNA, 320 nt
Filed under: uncultured eukaryote
Lineage: Eukaryota
Description: partial 18S ribosomal RNA
Rfam family: Eukaryotic small subunit ribosomal RNA
Source: RNAcentral